This is a long non-coding RNA of Vulpes vulpes (red fox), 1672 nucleotides long. NCBI's taxonomy places the organism in Eukaryota, Metazoa, Chordata, Mammalia, Carnivora, Canidae. The record is from Ensembl.
AUGCUUCCAAGGCCGUGCCCAGCUGUCCGUGGCUCCCCCAGGACGGGGCCGGGUCUGACCGUCCCCCAUCCCAGACGCACCGUCCGGGGAGGCGAGGUGGGCAAGCCCGCAGGAGGCCUUGUCCGGGGUCGAUCUGGCUCGGCUCCUCCCCUGGGGCACCGGCUGUUAGGAUUCAAUGAGCGGAUCCCGUGUGCCCUGCGUGUGCUCACUACGUGGCCAGUUGGCCCCUUGGCCGGGGUCUGGGAACGUGCCUUGUGGCCCCGGGCAGCAGGAGGUCCCAUUUGCGGUGUCCAUGCUGCGCACCUGUCCCAGGUGAGUCGCCCGGACCGUGAGGGCCCCACGCAGGGCCCGUGUGAGUCUGUCCUUCCUCUGCUCGUGUCCAGAGACGGAGACGCCUUCGGAGGGAAGCGCAGCAGUUCCCCAGCGGCCGCGGCCGAGCUCGGGGGGCCGCUGGCCCAGCGCGGGGCGAACACUCCACAUCGCCUCCCGCGGGGGGCCUGUCCUGACCGCCCGGCUCUCCCUGGAGGACGUGGCCCAACCUGGAACGAUCUCUGCUGGCCCGUGCAUGGUGUGCUCUGUCCUCUGCCAAAACUGUCCUGCUCUGAACAAUGGGACCUACCCCAUGGCAGCCUCCAAAUCCGUCACCCAGGAACAAGAGACAUGGGGCUCUUUCAAGGAUCUCCCGGGUGCUCUGUGUUGUCCGUGGGGUCACUGAGGUCCCGCCUGGGACCCCAAGUUCCAUCAUGCAAAACACGUUGAGCAAAGCACACACACACAGUCCGUGAAGAGGCCACAGGAUGCAGACGGGGGAGUUUGGGCGCAAGGCUGGGCCUGGGUCGUCAGGGCACCCAAGACAAGAAGACCCCAGGCCGCAGGUCUGUUCUCUGUAAAAUCCUGAGCCGCGGCCGCCCAAGGACCCCCACCCACCCAGACGGAGAGGCGUGGACUGGGAGUCAGGGGAGAGGAAACAGGACAAAGUGCUGGCUCAGCACCACAGAAGGCAGACGGGUCUCCCCGCAGCAGCCUCUGACCAACAAAAAAUUGACGGCAACGAAUGACCAUUAACGGCGCCCGAAUGAAUCAACGGCACUUACGGACACGAGGCCAGACGGGCCGAUAGUACGUGCACAGACAAGUGUGGCUGUCGUGGGUGACACGUGCACGCAGCCAGCCCCACUCAGGUGCACAACACACACCCCUGCCCCCACCGCAGUCACAAAAAACUUUAUUGCUUCCAUGCAUCAAAAGCCGUCUAGAAAAAUCCUUUGAGGAGGUGGCAGGGACACCUGCCUCCCCUAGAAUAGUGGCCCCCUUGGGGCCCAAGAGAGGCUUUCAGAAUGGGGUGCCGGUUGGGGGCACUUCAGUCCCAUUGCACUUGCUUUACAAGUACAUGGAGGGUGGGGGAGAGACAGAGGUGGUGGAGGUAAAGGGGCGAGAUGAUCGAGACCUGGAUGGGGAGAGAUGACGGAGAGACAGAGAUGAGAGAGACGGAGAGAUUAAAGCCUCGGAAAGCUCAUGCAGAACAGUGUGUGACUCUGACUGGUGCAGAUAUUGGCAAUUGUCGUGCUUCUUGGAAUUUUCCCGUAUUUUUAGUUCCAUAAACAAACAAAAACUUUGCAAGAGUUACCAGAGAAGAUACCAAGUGCAAUAAAGUCUUGAAGGACGAGGGACA